RNAcentral lists this non-coding RNA (31 nucleotides) under Rattus norvegicus (Norway rat). Lineage: Eukaryota; Metazoa; Chordata; Mammalia; Rodentia; Muridae. The record is from RNAcentral.
UAAAUAGACAAUCCAGUAGGGAGCUGUGUGC